Molecule: ribosomal RNA, 253 nt
Filed under: uncultured bacterium
Lineage: Bacteria
Description: partial 16S ribosomal RNA
Rfam family: Bacterial small subunit ribosomal RNA
Source: RNAcentral
GACGUAGGGGGCCAGCGUUGUUCGGAAUUACUGGGCGUAAAGUGUGCGCAGGCGGCCGCGCAAGUCGAGUGUGAAAGCCCCGGGCUUAACUUGGGAAUUGCGCUCGAAACUACGUGGCUGGAGUGUGGCAGAGGAAGGUGGAAUUCCACGUGUAGCGGUGAAAUGCGUAGAGAUGUGGAGGAACACCAAUGGCGAAGGCAGCCUUCUGGGCCAACACUGACGCUCAUGCACGAAAGCGUGGGGAGCAAACAGG